Molecule: ribosomal RNA, 1495 nt
Filed under: Vibrio sp. AB394f
Lineage: Bacteria; Pseudomonadati; Pseudomonadota; Gammaproteobacteria; Vibrionales; Vibrionaceae
Description: 16S ribosomal RNA
Rfam family: Bacterial small subunit ribosomal RNA
Source: RNAcentral
AUUGAACGCUGGCGGCAGGCCUAACACAUGCAAGUCGAGCGGAAACGAGUUAUCUGAACCUUCGGGGAACGAUAACGGCGUCGAGCGGCGGACGGGUGAGUAAUGCCUAGGAAAUUGCCCUGAUGUGGGGGAUAACCAUUGGAAACGAUGGCUAAUACCGCAURAUGCCUACGGGCCAAAGAGGGGGACCUUCGGGCCUCUCGCGUCAGGAUAUGCCUAGGUGGGAUUAGCUAGUUGGUGAGGUAAGGGCUCACCAAGGCGACGAUCCCUAGCUGGUCUGAGAGGAUGAUCAGCCACACUGGAACUGAGACACGGUCCAGACUCCUACGGGAGGCAGCAGUGGGGAAUAUUGCACAAUGGGGCGCAAGCCUGAUGCAGCCAUGCCGCGUGUGUGAAGAAGGCCUUCGGGUUGUAAAGCACUUUCAGUCGUGAGGAAGGUAGUGUAGUUAAUAGCUGCAUUAUUUGACGUUAGCGACAGAAGAAGCACCGGCUAACUCCGUGCCAGCAGCCGCGGUAAUACGGAGGGUGCGAGCGUUAAUCGGAAUUACUGGGCGUAAAGCGCAUGCAKGUGGUUUGUUAAGUCAKAUGUGAAAGCCCGGGGCUCAMCCUCGGAAUARCAUUUGAAACUGGCAKACUARAGUACUGUAGAGGGGGGUAGAAUUUCAGGUGUAGCGGUGAAAUGCGUAGAGAUCUGAAGGAAUACCGGUGGCGAAGGCGGCCCCCUGGACAGAUACUGACACUCARAUGCGAAAGCGUGGGGAGCAAACAGGAUUAGAUACCCUGGUAGUCCACGCCGUAAACGAUGUCUACUUGGAGGUUGUGGCCUUGAGCCGUGGCUUUCGGAGCUAACGCGUUAAGUAGACCGCCUGGGGAGUACGGUCGCAAGAUUAAAACUCAAAUGAAUUGACGGGGGCCCGCACAAGCGGUGGAGCAUGUGGUUUAAUUCGAUGCAACGCGAAGAACCUUACCUACUCUUGACAUCCAGAGAACUUUCCAGAGAUGGAUUGGUGCCUUCGGGAACUCUGAGACAGGUGCUGCAUGGCUGUCGUCAGCUCGUGUUGUGAAAUGUUGGGUUAAGUCCCGCAACGAGCGCAACCCUUAUCCUUGUUUGCCAGCGAGUAAUGUCGGGAACUCCAGGGAGACUGCCGGUGAUAAACCGGAGGAAGGUGGGGACGACGUCWAGUCAUCAUGGCCCUUACGAGUAGGGCUACACACGUGCUACAAUGGCGCAUACRGAGGGCGGCCAACUUGCGAAAGUGAGCGAAUCCCAAAAAGUGCGUCGUAGUCCGGAUUGGAGUCUGCAACUCGACUCCRUGAAGUCGGAAUCGCUAGUAAUCGUGGAUCAGAAUGCCACGGUGAAUACGUUCCCGGGCCUUGUACACACCGCCCGUCACACCAUGGGAGUGGGCUGCAAAAGANGUAGGUAGUUUAACCUUCGGGGGGACGCUUACCACUUUGUGGUUCAUGACUGGGGUGAAGUCGUAACAAGGUAACC